Molecule: long non-coding RNA, 93 nt
Organism: Etheostoma cragini (Arkansas darter)
Lineage: Eukaryota; Metazoa; Chordata; Actinopteri; Perciformes; Percidae
Exons: 3
Source: RefSeq, a predicted model, not a curated record
UCAUAACACCCCAUGCUCGCGUGGAGCUCUGUACCCAACCGACAGACACACUUCCUCGGCUUAGAAUUACGGUAGGAACAGCUAAAUAUAACG